RNAcentral lists this ribosomal RNA (253 nucleotides) under uncultured bacterium. Its description in RNAcentral is "partial 16S ribosomal RNA". It matches the Rfam family "Bacterial small subunit ribosomal RNA", at positions 524 to 776 of the family's 1533-position model. The record is from RNAcentral.
UACGUAGGGUGCAAGCGCUGUCCGGAAUUAUUGGGCGUAAAGAGCUCGUAGGCGGUUUGUUGCGUCGGCUGUGAAAUCCCGAGGCUCAACCUCGGGUCUGCAGUCGAUACGAGCAAACUAGAGUGUUGCAGGGGAGACUGGAAUUCCUGGUGUAGCGGUGAAAUGCGCAGAUAUCAGGAGGAACACCGGUGGCGAAGGCGGGUCUCUGGGCAACAACUGACGCUGAGGAGCGAAAGCGUGGGGAGCGAACAGG